Molecule: non-coding RNA, 488 nt
Organism: Ictidomys tridecemlineatus (thirteen-lined ground squirrel)
Lineage: Eukaryota; Metazoa; Chordata; Mammalia; Rodentia; Sciuridae
Source: RefSeq, a predicted model, not a curated record
GUGUGUGUGUGUGUGUGUGUGUGUGUGUGUGUGUGUGUGUGUAAAAGAGAGAGAGAGAGAGAGAGAGAAAACCAUGCAGAGCCAUCCUGCAGAGCAUCCUCUGCUUCGUUGGCUUCACCAGCUUUUGCCCUAACACGCACAGGGAUCUAACAGCAAACCAGUUAGCUGAAGCUUCCCCUGUAGUCUCCUCCUAGAAGUAGUCAUUGGCACUCUGCCUCCUGUUGCUGUGGCAGGUUCUCCCCGUGUGUGUGGGAACUUCUUAGAGGGUUCUUUGGACACAGUGAACAUUUAGUAGUGACUUCUUUGACCAUUAUUGCUUAGAAGUAGGAAGAAAAGCCUUCUGGCAAUCUUGGUUAUUAAGAUUUCUGGUGGUGUGGGAUGCAUGAAUGAAGUGGAAUAUGUACUUUGGGUAAGUUAAAUGGGACAGCCUUCCAUGUUCAUCUGUCUACCUCUUAACUGAAUAAAAAAAGCCUACAAUUUUUAGAAAA